Molecule: RNase P RNA, 513 nt
Filed under: Kapaibacterium sp. (SeqCode)
Lineage: Bacteria; Pseudomonadati; Bacteroidota; Eximiradiia; Eximiradiales; Kapaibacteriaceae (SeqCode)
Description: RNase P RNA component class A
Rfam family: Bacterial RNase P class A
About the family: Ribonuclease P (RNase P) is a ubiquitous endoribonuclease, found in archaea, bacteria and eukarya as well as chloroplasts and mitochondria. Its best characterised activity is the generation of mature 5'-ends of tRNAs by cleaving the 5'-leader elements of precursor-tRNAs.
Source: RNAcentral
GUGGAAAUGCAGGUGAUUGCGGAAGGCGUAGUAAUGCGCUUUCCGAGGAAAGUCCGAACUCCAAAGAGCAUUGCGCCGGUUAACGACCGGACGGUAAACCUGAGAGCGUGAUACUCACGAGCAAUCGUGCGCUUUCAGGCAAGCCGAUGGAAAGUGCCACAGAAAACAAACCGCCCGUGGCGAGCACUUCUUUACCGAAGUGUUCUUCAAGGGUAAGGGUGAAAAGGUGAGGUAAGAGCUUACCGCAUUCAUGGUAACAUCGAAUGGCAGGGCAAACCCCGCAAGGAGCAAAGUCAAGUAAGAAUGAAGGACGCUACCCCGAAUGUAGGUACGUCAUUACGCGGCUCGUGUAACAGAAGUGAGAUGUAAUAUGCUCCUUCGCUUCAUUCGGGUAGGCUGCACGAGGAGCGUAGUAAUACGCUUCCCAGAUAAAUAAUCACCUCUUGCGCCCUCGCUUCCCAGUUCAAAAGGCAGCGCAAAAGACAGAAUUCGGCUUAUCGCAUUUUCACGACA